This 465-nucleotide ribosomal RNA is filed under the name uncultured bacterium. RNAcentral's name for it is "partial 16S ribosomal RNA". It matches the Rfam family "Bacterial small subunit ribosomal RNA", at positions 28 to 507 of the family's 1533-position model. The record is from RNAcentral.
GACGAACGCUGGCGGCGUGCUUAACACAUGCAAGUCGAACGGAAAGGCCCUGCUUGCAGGGUACUCGAGUGGCGAAGGGGUGAGUGACACGUGGGUGCACCGCCCUGCACUUCGGGAUAAGCCUGGGAAACGGGGAAUAAUACCGGAUAGGAGACACGUCCAGCGGGAGGGUGGGAAAGAUUUUUCGGUGUAGGAUGAGCUCGCGGCCUAUCAGCUGGUUGGUGGGGUAAUGGCCUACCAAGGCGACGACGGGUAGCCGGACUGGGGGGGUGGACGGCCACCCUGGGUCUGGGGUGCGGCCCAGGUUCCUACGAGUGGCCGCAGGGCGGAAGCUUGCUCCAUGGGCGCCAGCCUGAUGCAGCGGGGCCGCGUGUGGUAUGACGGCCUCCGUGUUGUAGACACCCUUCGCUAUGGACGCAGCCUUUUGUGACGGUACCUAGAGAAUAAGCACCGGCUAACUACGUG